Molecule: long non-coding RNA, 1047 nt
Filed under: Anser cygnoides (Swan goose)
Lineage: Eukaryota; Metazoa; Chordata; Aves; Anseriformes; Anatidae
Description: lncRNA (ENSACDG00005007331.1)
Source: RNAcentral
CGAAAAGUAGUAUUGCCGUUUUUUUGGGUUAUUUUUUAUUUUAUUUUUUCAGUGGGAGGAGGCAAGGUGAAGAACAGAGGACCUCACAGACUUUCCUGCCCUGCUCUGGGUUUCUGGUUUCUGCGCUCUUCUAAGAAUUUGGCCAAUUUGAAGAAGCCGUAUUGGCAACAGCCAGUGGGGUUCCUAAUUAAGGUUUCUGAACACUUCUUUAGAGUAAACGGUGAAGAAAGGGCCAGAAGUUUCCCAGUCUCUGCCUCCAUGCUCAUCUAUUUCCCAGGGUGGAACUGAACAGAUGCAGCUUCUGGCUCACAGCAUCUUUGCAGCCUGUCAGGAUUGCUUUUAGCUGCUGUUCACAACUUCUGGGGCAGCGUAAGGUACACAGGCUUCAUUUUUCACCAGCUGCAGGGGAAUUUUAUAAAUAGAACUGUAUAGGAGGCUUACGCUCGCUGCCUUUCAAAGAUCUUACCAGUUCAUUCUAGCAGGAUCCAGUGUCUGUUGCACAGUUAACAGUCCCACCGACAAAAAUUCAGCAGAAAUCACAAAACUGUUCCAAAGUACACUUGUAUUCUAGCCUCUCAAAAAGAAUCUAAUUUCAUUUCACAACCAGUAUACAGAUAUCAUGCAGCCAAAACCUGAUGCAUGCACCCUCAUGCAUUCUUCAGGUCAAAAAUUUGACUUAAAAUUAAAAAAAAGUAUUUUUAAAAAAUAUGUUUGAGGAUAUUUUGCUUUCACGGAUUAUGUUUUCAAGUUUCCCUGCAAUUAUGAAGGUUAAAUAAGUGGUCUUUCGGGGAAGGGGGCUGGCUACUUGUUUUCUAAAGUGUUAGAAUCCUUAAUACCAAAGGUUCACAGAUCUCAUGAGCCAGCCACACUGCUCUAAGGGUGAUAACUGAAUUCAAUUUGUUCUCAUCUUCCUGCUGGUAAAUUGACUCAAGUCAGAAAAUUCUUUGGGACAAACACUUUCUUAAUUCUUCCAUGUUAAAUGCAUCUUGUGCAAUUGCCACUGCACUGCUAAUAAUAAAAACGUGGACCACAGGCUGCUAAUUCUCA